GCCUGGGUGGCUCAGUCGGUUGAGCGUCCGACUUUGGCUCGGGUCACGAUCUUGCGGUUCGUGAGUUCGAGCCCCGCGUCGGGCU
Molecule: transfer RNA, 85 nt
Filed under: Felis catus (domestic cat)
Lineage: Eukaryota; Metazoa; Chordata; Mammalia; Carnivora; Felidae
Rfam family: tRNA
About the family: Transfer RNA (tRNA) molecules are approximately 80 nucleotides in length. Their secondary structure includes four short double-helical elements and three loops (D, anti-codon, and T loops).
Source: Rfam by way of RNAcentral